Long non-coding RNA from Photinus pyralis (common eastern firefly), 1221 nucleotides. RefSeq lists it as uncharacterized. The record is from RefSeq and is a predicted model, not a curated record. NCBI's taxonomy places the organism in Eukaryota, Metazoa, Arthropoda, Insecta, Coleoptera, Lampyridae. The transcript has 6 exons.
AAAGAUAUGAUGAUCAUCAAAUUUCUGAAUUACAUCUUCCACAAAGUUUUUUAUUUUAAGCAACUCUACUCUUUCUUUUGACAAUCUGCAGAACACUCCUCAUCUUCGCUACUACUACUGGACGAAAUAAGUAGACAAACAAAGUACCAUUUUUGUGACAUUGCCAUGAAAUUGUAAACAAAAAUGCUAAACAGCUGAUCAGAUUUGAAUGCCGCACGUGCCUCAAGACAUCGUUCGGAACUAUGUGCACUUUAGGCAAAAAAUGUUGCACUGAUAUUCCAAUGAAUACUUGUACUACAAUGACCAAUGGUUUAUAAAAAUUUGCACUCGGUGCGCAUUUUUUCACCAAUAAAUUUGAAAGACAUUUGAAGGAGGUACCUGGUGACAAGCUUCAUGUAGAUCCCCAACCGGCUCAUGUUAAUGUUUUAAAUGUACAUGUACUUAAUAAAUAAAACUUUCUUACCUGUUCAGCCAUUAUUAGACGCAGAGCGGUCAAUGAUAACUAGAAACCAAGAUAAUUUUAAAUGAAAGCAGUUGAAAUAAGAUGCUUAAUUGUUCAAUGUUGUAGUAUUUCCAAUUGAUGUUAAUCCAUUGAGCUACACUUCUGAUCAUACUAAUAAUUCAAUCUCUGCUAACAUUCUUCUCGUAAUGAGAGACACUGAUGUUGAAGCUCCACCUGCGUCUGAAAUGGUGUACCAAAUUCCUAAGUACAAUACAAGUUGUGUGGAGAAAAAAUUAGAUCAAGUGUUGAGAAUGUUAACAGCCAUCAAAUUGGAGCUAGAUGAGCUAAAAUUGAAGAAUCGUAAAACCAACCAGGCUGAACAGGUUUCCAUACCAGAGUUUCCACUAGACCACUACAAUGUGUAGAGGAUUUAGAAACGUUUGAAAGAAACCUACAAACUGACGAGGAAUUUAAAGUAAAAGUGAUUAAAUACUUUAAAUAUGUAGGGGGAACAUCUUUAAGAGACAUAACCACUAGAUGUUUUAUAAAAAGUUUUACAAAUAGCUUGUGCCAAAAAUGUUCGUGGAAGGGCUGGAGAAAUAAUAAUUAUAGAGUUGAAGAUUUAAUUUUAAUUAAAUGUCUUUAUGAUGCUAUUUCUUCAGUUUUCCAAUCCACUGAAAAGGAGUUUGAAACUAUGGUACGGGAUUAUUUGCGUCAUGGAAAGCAACGCCGAGAACGAGAGGAAAAGAACAAGUCCAAAAACGAUGUUGUUUGAUAUA